RNAcentral lists this ribosomal RNA (702 nucleotides) under uncultured bacterium. Its description in RNAcentral is "bacterial SSU rRNA". It matches the Rfam family "Bacterial small subunit ribosomal RNA", at positions 140 to 828 of the family's 1533-position model. The record is from RNAcentral.
GGGAUACCACUUGGAAACAGGUGCUAAUACCGGAUAACAACAAUAGCUGCAUGGCUAUUGCUUAAAAGGCGGCGAAAGCUGUCGCUAAAGGAUGGACCCACGGUGCAUUAGCUAGUUGGUAAGGUAAUGGCUUACCAAGGCGACGAUGCAUAGCCGAGUUGAGAGACUGAUCGGCCACAUUGGGACUGAGACACGGCCCAAACUCCUACGGGAGGCAGCAGUAGGGAAUCUUCCACAAUGGGCGAAAGCCUGAUGGAGCAACGCCGCGUGAGUGAAGAAGGUUUUCGGAUCGUAAAGCUCUGUUGUUGGUGAAGAAGGAUAGAGGUAGUAACUGGCCCCUAUUUGACGGUAAUCAACCAGAAAGUCACGGCUAACUACGUGCCAGCAGCCGCGGUAAUACGUAGGUGGCAAGCGUUGUCCGGAUUUAUUGGGCGUAAAGCGAGCGCAGGCGGAAAGAUAAGUCUGAUGUGAAAGCCCCCGGCUUAACCGAGGAAUUGCAUCGGAAACUGUGUUUCUUGAGUGCAGAAGAGGAGAGUGGAACUCCAUGUGUAGCGGUGGAAUGCGUAGAUAUAUGGAAGAACACCAGUGGCGAAGGCGGCUCUCUGGUCUGUAACUGACGCUGAGGCUCGAAAGCAUGGGUAGCGAACAGGAUUAGAUACCCUGGUAGUCCAUGCCGUAAACGAUGCGUGAUAGGUGUUGGGA